UAGUCAUUGGUUGGAACUAGAACUAAGGUAUUGGAAUUUGGUUGUAGAGUUGAACUGAUUUUGCAUGACACCGGAACGGCUAGUACCGAGAAUCAUCUGGUUCAUAUGCAUGGGUAUAGUUUCUACGUCGUGGUGUACGGAUCAGGGAAUUACCACCUAGAACAACAAAGCUAAAUCCGGUGGAUCCACCCUAUUUGAAUACCAUUGGAGUUCCUGUUGGUGGUUGGGUUGCCAUUCGAUUUGUAGCAGACAAUCCUGACAUUUGCUGAGCUUAAAGAGGAAGACAGUUUGAUGUUAAAAGGAAGGUUUCAUUUAAAGAAGGAACCGGCAAUAUUAAGGAGUUGGGAGGAAAAAAAGGCUUGGAGCAAUCAACUCGAGAGAAUUAAGUUGGUACCAACAACAUUCUCGUGCACAACCUCCUGCACCCCUACCGUGUCGGAGAAAUGAUAGAGGCAGUGGCCCUGGUAGACCACAAUAAAGAGGAAGAUAUAGUGGCGACGAUGAGGGUCGUCGGUCACAAGGAAGAGAAGGAGGGGCAUCUCAUGUUUGCUUAGGAUCCGGAAGGGCAUAGAGAUCCCGGAUAGUUAUUAUAGUUCCAGGUUAUAUAGCUUACGGAAGUCGGGUGUGUUUGGGGUAACAGAAAAAAAAAGUCUACCAGCAGCAUUCAAGCUGUCUACAGUCUAGUCCUGAGAAGAGGAGUGCAUCUCAUCGUAAGGAGGAGGUGAAAGCCCUGAUAUAUGCAGUUAAGAAAGUCUUAGAAAAAGGUGCUCAUUCAGGGCGAACCUGCUCGUUUUCGCAGCCCAUCAAAACAUGAUUCUGAUGCUUAUGUAAGUUAUCUGACCACAUUUUUGAUUUUUAGUCUUGGAAACCAGAAUUAGUAAAUAAGCGUGUAAGGCUCGACCUAUAUUGCAUGACUGAUGUACGGUUUUCAUAAUGGACAAGUCGCAUCCUUUGAGUAAGCAUUUUUUUUAAGUUGGUGGGUGUUUGUGAACCUUUGUUCGAUUAUUACUUUGUUAAACUUAUUAACGAUGCACUUAGUGUGACAAUUAAGUAGUCUGUGAACCUUUUUUCAGCUUGUCAAAUGUUAAGCUGUCGGACUUGAUGAAUGAGUUAAAUAUUUUGUGAACCUUUUUUUUUUCUUUUUCUGUUUGUCAAAUAUUGAGGUUGCUGGACUUGAUGAAUGAAUGCGUGUAAAUAGAAGGCUUAAUAGUUCGUGGCAUGAGAGCUUUGUUUGAUUUUGCUUCACAUAAUUUCCUACGUGCAAUGAUUUUUUUCUAUUCUUUCUCUUAUCCUUUUUAAUGAUGCAUCUUCUGGAUAAUGGGAUUUCUGAUUGUGGUGACCAUAUAAAUUGUGAUUCUAUAGUUGUGUUGAAUGGGAUUGGUUAGUUGAAAAUUGUUGGAAGGUAGGUGUUUGUAGAGGUGUACAUGUUUGUACACAUGUUGGUUACUACUUAAAAUAAUAGAUAUCUUCUUUUACCUUCUUAUGAGUCCUAAUUGAAAGACCUGGUUGAGUUUCUGUAAUGGUGUAAACAGGAUGCUUGUGAGUCACUAACUAAAUCAUGUGGCUGUUGUGGAAGCAUCAUGAAGGAUAAGUUGUAUCAUGGUAUGUGUGAGUUGCAUCAUGGUAUGUGUGAGUCUAUAUGUGUCUUUAACACCUACUUCUUUUGUUAUUACUAUAUUUUAUGAAAAGAAGCGAGAGAGUUGCGACGUAGGUCUAUAUAUCCAUACCAUUUCUGGUUAAUAGCUAAACUGGUUAUGAAUCAAACACUCUUCCUCGAAAACUCAGAAUCAUAACAACUAAUAUACGUCUUCAGGUUGCUUGCUGGGAGCUCCAAAUGAAUAUUGAUUGUUAGGGGUGAACAUGCUUGUUAUGUGUUAGAUUUUAAAAGCAUACUUGUUACUGGUUCUUGGAUGGAUGAUCUAAGUUGUACGUGGUGUACAAACUGGGGCACCUUGUCCUGUUUUUGAAUUUUCAUGUUUGUAAACCAGUUUAAACUAAAGAUUUAAAAAAAUGAGAAUUAUAUAGUCAUAUGGGUACUCUUUUUGUAGCUCCCUGAAAGAGCUCUCCGAAUAUAUAAAGUUUGUGAAUUUUGGACAAACGGUUCAAAAG
Molecule: long non-coding RNA, 2109 nt
Organism: Papaver somniferum (opium poppy)
Lineage: Eukaryota; Viridiplantae; Streptophyta; Magnoliopsida; Ranunculales; Papaveraceae
Exons: 7
Source: RefSeq, a predicted model, not a curated record